Molecule: ribosomal RNA, 252 nt
Filed under: uncultured bacterium
Lineage: Bacteria
Description: partial 16S ribosomal RNA
Source: RNAcentral
CUGCUGCCUCCCGUAGGAGUCUGGGCCGUGUCUCAGUCCCAGUGUGGCCGGCCACCCUCUCAGGCCGGCUACCCAUCGUCGCCUUGGUAGGCCAUUACCCUACCAACUAGCUAAUGAGACGCGAGUCCAUCUUUCAGCGUCAGGUCUCCCCAACUUUUCCUAUAUAAACAUGCACUUAUAUAACUCAUCCGGCAUUAGCUCACCUUUCGGUAAGUUGUUCCAGUCUAAAAGGCAGGUCACUCACGUGUUACU